Molecule: long non-coding RNA, 1264 nt
Filed under: Aotus nancymaae (Ma's night monkey)
Lineage: Eukaryota; Metazoa; Chordata; Mammalia; Primates; Aotidae
Description: lncRNA (ENSANAG00000038990.1)
Source: RNAcentral
AACAUGUCAUAGUUCUAAUAUGUGUUAAAUUAUUUGAUGUAUAUUAGAGAAAAUAAGCUUUAAGAUCUGUCUUAGUCUGUUUGUGUUGCUAUAAAGGAAUGCCUGAGGCUGGGUAAUUUAUAAAGAAAUGACGUUUAUUUGGCUCACAGUUCUGCAGGCUGUGCAAGAAGCCUGGCACCAGUGUCUAUUUUUGGGGAGGGUCUCAGACCGCUUCCACUUGUGGUGGAAGGCAAGAGGGAGCUGGCUUAUGCAGAUCACAUGGCCAGAUUGAAAAGCAAGAAAGCAGCGGAGGUGCCAGGCUCGUUUUCAACAGAGUUCUUACAGGAACUGAGAGACUUAUUUGCUGCUGCAAGAAUGUAUCAAGCCAUUCAUGAGAAAUCUGCCCUCAUGAUCCAAACACCUCCUACCAGGCCCACUUCCAAUACUGGGGAUCAAAUUUCAACACGAGUCUUGACACAGCCAAACAAACUACAUAUUUAAACCAGAGCAAGAGUGAUAUUUAAAUUUUAUACUGAAUAUAAUUCCAGUGAAUCUGUGCUGCCCAGCUGAGAGGCAGGAUUGAGUUUUCGAUGUGCUCUGAAUACCUGGUAACAUUCUCAAUGGCACUGCUUCAUUGGAAAAUCUUCUUUGAAAAGGCAACACACUCCAUCUGGAAGAACAGGAAAAUGCUCUAGACCUGGGAUGUAGCUGGAAGAGGAAGACCAGGGCUUCCUGAAUAAAGGCUUCAGAUGAAAAGAACCAUAGAUCUUGGCAAACUCCACACUCUGUAGACUACUAUCCAGAUCCAGUGGAUUCGAUGCAUGGAUGCUGAAGCCAUUUGAAAAUCAGGCCAGGCUGGUUUGCAAACAGAAGCUUGGGAAUCUCCAAACACGCCCCUUGGAACAGGCUCAUAAUCUGAUGGCAUCUGCAAGCUGCAGCUCAAGCCAAGGCUCCAUACUCUGGGCUUCCUUGUACUGGCUCAGUGGCUUCCUCGUCUGUGCAUGUACAUUUAUGUGCAUGCAUGCAUGUGGGAUGGAACAUGUUUGGCUGAGUGCAUCUUCAGGUGCACCUAGCACAGUGUCUGGGCUCUACUGAUAAUAUAUCUCACACAUACUAUGUACAGUUAUCUGUCAAAUGCUACAAAUGCUGCAAUGAAUAAAACACAUUUUAAAGCAUAGCUUUUUGUCAUUACAUCGUUUCUUGAUAAACCCAUACUUAAAGAAAAACUACUUUGACAUGGGAGAUUUCAAAGUAUUUUUAGCAUUAGAAAGAAGAAAAACAUUAG